ACGCUCAGGUGCGAAAGCGUGGGGAGCAAACAGGAUUAUAUACCCUGGUAGUCCACGCCGUAAACGAUGUCUACUACCUGUUCGUGACCUUGUGUCGUGAGUAGCGCAGCUAACGCACUAAUUACACCGCCUGGGGAGUACGGUCGCAAGAUUAAAACUCAAAUGAAUUGACGGGGGCCCGCACAAGCGGUGGAGCAUGUGGUUUAAUUCGACGCAACGCGAAGAACCUUACCUACUCUUGACAUCCAGAGAAGACUGCAGAGAUGCGGUUGUGCCUUCGGGAACUCUGAGACAGGUGCUGCAUGGCUGUCGUCAGCUCGUGUUGUGAAAUGUUGGGUUAAGUCCCGCAACGAGCGCAACCCUUAUCCUUAGUUGCCAGCACGUAAUGGUGGGAACUCUAGGGAGACUGCCGGUGAUAAACCGGAGGAAGGUGGGGACGACGUCAAGUCAUCAUGGCCCUUACGAGUAGGGCUACACACGUGCUACAAUGGUAUGUACAGAGGGAGGCAAGCUGGCGACAGUGAGCGGAUCUCUUAAAGCAUAUCGUAGUCCGGAUCGCAGUCUGCAACUCGACUGCGUGAAGCCGGAAUCGCUAGUAAUCGCAAAUCAGAAUGUUUGCGGUGAAUACGUUCCCGGGCCUUGUACACACCGCCCGUCACACCAUGGGAGUGGGUUGCAAAAGAAGUAGGUAGCUUAACCCUUCGGGAGGGCGCUUACCACUUUGUGAUUCAUGACUGGGGUGAAAGUCG
This 749-nucleotide ribosomal RNA is filed under the name uncultured bacterium. RNAcentral's name for it is "bacterial SSU rRNA". It matches the Rfam family "Bacterial small subunit ribosomal RNA", at positions 743 to 1488 of the family's 1533-position model. The record is from RNAcentral.